CCGUUAGCCCGGAGCUAGCCGUUAGCCAAACACGGAGACGGGAAGACUCGUCCGGCACAGGGGAGAAGACGGUCCGUAUUGUGGCAGUGGGCGAGGCACGGAGGACGGGCGGGAGGCAGCCGACAGCCAGCUACCAACGGCAGAGGUAUCGGCUCGAGGCAAAAACCGGACCGGGACGGCUCGAUGGCUGCCCCGGGAGAAAAGUUAAAAACCUUUUGUUGCAGCGCUGGGACGAUGGAGAAAUCCGGGUGUUCGCCGCUGACAGCGGGAGGCGGCCAACAAUCCGCUGAUGUUGGAGGAGAUGUCGGGAGCCUCACUCACAUGUCCUAACUUCUUCGGAGGAGGAGCAGAUGAAGAGGGGAACAAUGAAGGCAGCACGCGUAGGAUACUG
Molecule: long non-coding RNA, 391 nt
Organism: Gasterosteus aculeatus aculeatus (three-spined stickleback)
Lineage: Eukaryota; Metazoa; Chordata; Actinopteri; Perciformes; Gasterosteidae
Source: Ensembl